RNAcentral lists this unclassified non-coding RNA (3302 nucleotides) under Apis dorsata (giant honeybee). RNAcentral's name for it is "cytochrome b5 reductase 4, transcript variant X2". The record is from RNAcentral. Lineage: Eukaryota; Metazoa; Arthropoda; Insecta; Hymenoptera; Apidae.
UGUAGAAGAAGAGUGAGAACAUGGCGUCAAUGUGCGCGCGCGCGCGAGUGUAUGUGUACGUUAGGGUGAAUGUCACUUUGUGGCCACUUGCUUCCUUAUCAUUCGACAAAGAACGCUUAUUAUUCUUGGUGAUUUUAUUAUUAGCCGCGUCUCGUGCUGAGUUAAUAACGUAGCGUUAUAGUGUAGUGAAGACUGGCUUCUACGUCUUCUAUUCUGACAUGCGGUUCACGAUCGCCGAUCGUCUUUUUGAGCAAUAAUUCAAAAGUGAGAAUACACAACAAGUAUAACAGUUUUUCUUGUUUUUCUCAGAUUCGAUGCGCUACUAUAAAAUAUUUCAUGUUGAUAAAAUACAAAUUAUAAAUUUGCUUUUCUGUGAAUUAAAACAAAAGAAGUCAGAAUGAAGAAAUGUCCGGCUCAAGAUCAACAAGAAAAGGUAAAUGAGUUAGAAGUGAACAAUGAUGCUAAAGACAUUCAAGAGAAGAUGAAGAAGGUGGAGGUGAAGUCUUCGUCUGUUAGUUCUUUGGCGAAGAAUGAUGUACUGUUACCUAGUGGAAUUGCUCGAGUAAAGCAAUUUCAGGAAGCGAGAGCAGUUACUCAAACGAGAUCAUCGUCAUCAGGCUCGGCUACUGGCAAUCCCCGAAAUAAAACCGCGCUAGCACCCGGCCACAGUUUGAUGGACUGGAUCCGAUUAGGCAAUUCUGGAGUCGAUCUAACCGGCGUUGGUGGUGUUCCACGGAUCGUAACAUUAUCCGAGUUGGCCAGUCAUAAUAAGCAAAACGAUGCUUGGAUCGCGAUUCGAGGAAUCGUGUUCAACGUGACACGUUACAUGGAUUUCCAUCCAGGAGGUAUAAGCGAAUUGAUGAGAGGGGUCGGCAAAGACGCGACCAAACUGUUCGAAAGCGUGCACGCUUGGGUCAACUAUCAGAGCAUCCUUCAGAAAUGCGUGGUGGGAAGGCUGAGCCGUGGCUCGAUGACCGGUUCCUCCUCGUCCUCGAUGGAAAACCCUGUCUCGGCCACCACCAAUUGUUCAUCGACGGCGCAGAACCUGAUAACGACAAGUUGCACGACUCAUAGUACCAGUCAAGAAAACGUGUCAGACGGUGAUUUGUCGAAUAUAAAAAUGGAUUGGAGGCAGACAUCCAACACGAUCACGUUAUUUUACCAAACUGUUCGAGAUUAUCCUGGUGUGAGCUAUCAAUUAAGUAGGAUAAGCGACUCGAAGUUGAUAUUCAAAUUAUUUUUCGAGAAGGACAUAAUAACGCAUCAGCUGGAACUGACAGCGGAAAUAAAAUGGCCGCCGAUGUGCACCAAAAAUUUCGACACGAUGGAGGUCGAUUUUACAUUUACGAAACAGAAGAAAGAGAUAUGGAAAUCUCAAGGUAGUCAAACGAUAUCCAGGGAGACAAAUACGAAUAAUCGAAUUUACAAAGAAUACGAAGUUGUUACGAAUAAACCUCUUUCCAAAUUAGUUCACCUAUUGGUCGUUCGAGCGAAAAACUUUUUGCAAAUGGUGCCCAUUGGCAGACACGUAGAAGCCAAGAUGAACGUCAUGGGGAUGGAAGUAUCACGAUCGUACACGCCUGUCUCACCGUGCCUUCACCCUGACGACAUAGCGCCGAAUUACAAAUCCGAUUGUCUGUGUUUAAUGAUCAAAAGAUAUCCCCAAGGUGCUCUCAGUCCGUCCAUAACCGCUCUUCAGAUUGGCCAAACCUUCCUCUUGAGCAAUGCUUUAGGUGCCUUUGUAAUAGAAUCCUUCGAUCGUUAUUCUGUCAUUCACAUGCUCGCGGGUGGCACCGGUUUGACAGCGAUGCUUGGCAUCAUUCAACGAGCUUUGGCCAGACGCAGCGUGAAGACUAUAAAUUUACUUAACUUCAAUAAAAAUGAAGAUAGUAUGUUUUACGUGGCGGAGUUAGAAAAGGCUAGUGCAGAUAAAAAAUUAAAAGUCACACAUAUCCUUUCGCAAGCCGAAAGCACAUGGACGGGUAGACGUGGCACGAUAUCCGAUGAUUUAUUAAAGGAAUUAGUCGCAGAAACUUCCCCUGACGCGUGUGUUUUUACCUGUGGACCUCCAGGAUUCAUACAAUCCGCGAAAAAAUCUCUUCAAAAACUUGACUGGAAACCCUACCAAAUGUACGAAUUUGACGAUUAAGUGCACUCAUCGAGAAUAUAUCUCUCUCUUUUGAUACCAAAUGUCGAAACAUUUAACGCAUGAUGGAAACAUUGGUAUUCUUUGAGAAAAAUAAUUACGUAUCAUGUUGUCGAAUUUUUAAAAAGAAUCUUUUGGAUACUUUUACUCCUAUUUCCGCCCACAGCCUCAGUAUCGUGCAUAACUGAUGUCUUCCUUUUGUGUAAUUUCUUCGUUUUAAUUUUGUUAAAUUACAAGAUUAUGCCAAAUGCGCAACAAUUGAGAAAUAAAGUUCUAUUUAAUGCAAAUGCUCACUUUUUGUAUUAUAUUUACAAAAUUCGAAAAAAAAAAGAGAAAAACGAGAAAAAUAAAUAAGAAAAAAAAUAGGAGUAAGAGUCACAGAUGAAAGUCUUUGGAUUCUAUGGGACGAACUGUGUGUAUAAGCGUCCAUGAAUGUACUUUCUAUAUGAAAACAAAUUAUUUUUACAAAUGUCUUUUAAUCUAUCAUCCAGAGAACUGUAUUUUGAACGAUUUAUCCGAAAAUAUUCACAAAUAUCUUCGGACGUAAACCAAUUCGAAACGAUCAUGGUGCUAUUUUUUAAUCCCUUCGUGCUCGAUUUUACGUAUAAGAUACAUUCACAUACUUGAUACUUUAAUAGUGGAACUAUCAAAUCCAUUAAAAGAUAAAAAUAUAAUUAUAUAUAUAUAUAAAGAAACAAAAAAAAAAUUAGAUCAUGAAAUGGUUAAAUAAAUAUAUAUUUCUUAAUUAUAUUCGAGAAAACUUAUCUUUAUUCAUUCUUUACGAAAAAGGUAAAGAUUAAAGAUAUUUAAUUUCUAUGUAAAAAAUUAGAAUGAUAAUUAAAAAAAAUUCCUUUCCUUUUGAAAUAAAUUGUGUGCCAAAGAGAGGCCUUAGAACUCUGAAUGAAUUCAUGUAACCAAUAAUAUGGCCUAAUCACGAUAUUAAGUCUUAUUAAUCAUUUAUUAGAUCUUAAUUGAUUUAAAAUUUAUAGACAGGUAAAAAAAUAUCAAUAAUAAUUCAUUAAAAUUUUUAAUUUGAUCGAAUAUCAAUACAACACAAAUAAUAUUGUUCAAUACUUUUAACUGAAUCUAUCUAGUUUCUAUUCUAGUUUCUAAAAAUAACUUUAUAAAAUAAUUUCUAAAUUUCGAUCUUCGAUCU